Long non-coding RNA from Magnolia sinica, 709 nucleotides. RefSeq lists it as uncharacterized. The record is from RefSeq and is a predicted model, not a curated record. Lineage: Eukaryota; Viridiplantae; Streptophyta; Magnoliopsida; Magnoliales; Magnoliaceae. The transcript is spliced from 2 exons.
GGAGCUACUUGUGCUCAAAUCUAAGUCCGAAGUUAGCUUCUAGGAUGAAACGUGUGGAAUGUCCCUAUGUUUUUAUUUUUUAUUUUUUAUAUGGACCCACCGUGAUGUGUAUGUGAAAUCCACUUUGACCAUUACAUUUGCCUUCGGUUGUUAGGCCUAGGGCUAGAAAAUUAGGCUACCCCCAUGAUUCAAGUGGGCCACACCAAAGGAAACAGUUGGGAGAGACGUGCACUGUUGAUUUUUUUAUGGGGCCCACCAUGAUGAUUGUAUGAAAUCCAUGCAAACCGUUAGAUGCCGCAAAACAGUUUAGCCCUGGGUCCAAAAAUCAGACCCAUCCUUGAUUCAUGUGGGUCACACCAAGGGAAACAAUUUAGAGGGUAGGUGUCGUCCUGUAUAGUCUCCAAUUGUGAAGUCCACCUAAACCACGGAUGUGGCUGGUUUUUCAGCCCCACGCCUAAAAUUAGCUCAAUUACCUAGCGGUUAGAGUGGAUGUUUGAAAUACAUGAUUGCGGGGCCCACCCAAGCUAGACCACCCAUUUACCUAAAUUGCUUUUUCUCAAUGCCAUUUACAGAUAGAUCACAUGUCGACCAUGUUAGUAUGUUGCUACUGGAAAAGCUCUGUGGGCCCACCAUGAUAUAUGUGUUUUAUCCACGCUGUCCAUCCAUUUUGCUAGCUCAUUUUAGGGCAUGAGCCCAAAAAUGGGGUAGA